Molecule: small nuclear RNA, 182 nt
Filed under: Erpetoichthys calabaricus (reedfish)
Lineage: Eukaryota; Metazoa; Chordata; Cladistia; Polypteriformes; Polypteridae
Description: U2 spliceosomal RNA (ENSECRG00000013315.1)
Rfam family: U2 spliceosomal RNA
About the family: U2 is a small nuclear RNA (snRNA) component of the spliceosome (involved in pre-mRNA splicing). Complementary binding between U2 snRNA (in an area lying towards the 5' end but 3' to hairpin I) and the branchpoint sequence (BPS) of the intron results the bulging out of an unpaired adenosine, on the BPS, which initiates a nucleophilic attack at the intronic 5' splice site, thus starting the first of two transesterification reactions that mediate splicing.
Source: RNAcentral
AUAAGUUGUUUUUUUUUGAAAAAAAUAUAUCUGUUCUUAUCAGUUUAAUAUCUGCUACGUCCCCUAUCUGGGGACCAUAUAUUAAAUUGAUUUUUGGAACAGGGAGAUGGAAUAGGGGCUUGCUCCGUCCACUCCACGCAUCGACCUGGUAUUGCAGUACUUCCAGGAGCGGUGCACUUUCU